AUGAAAAGAAAGAAUAAGAAAAACUUUCACUAUUUUAGAGGAACACAAGUAAAAAAAAAAUUCUAAGUAAAAUAAAGAAAAGUUACAAGAACAGAAGAUAUAAGCAAUAACAACAUAGUAGAUUUGGACACCAAGAAACUUUAGGAUCUACAUAUUUUAAUUCAUCCGACACCAGCAGAGCGAUACAAACAACCGAGAAAUCAAAUGUUACUUUGUAGAAUAUAAUAAGAAAUGCAAUUUGAUCAAUUAAGUCUAACCUUCAAUUUCCUCAUCAUCAAGUG
Molecule: unclassified non-coding RNA, 281 nt
Filed under: Hevea brasiliensis (rubber tree)
Lineage: Eukaryota; Viridiplantae; Streptophyta; Magnoliopsida; Malpighiales; Euphorbiaceae
Source: RNAcentral